Molecule: ribosomal RNA, 439 nt
Filed under: Helicobacter cinaedi
Lineage: Bacteria; Pseudomonadati; Campylobacterota; Epsilonproteobacteria; Campylobacterales; Helicobacteraceae
Description: bacterial SSU rRNA
Rfam family: Bacterial small subunit ribosomal RNA
Source: RNAcentral
ACGAUGAAGCUUCUAGCUUGCUAGAAGUGGAUUAGUGGCGCACGGGUGAGUAAUGCAUAGGUUAUGUGCCCUUUAGUCUGGGAUAGCCACUGGAAACGGUGAUUAAUACUGGAUACUCCCUACGGGGGAAAGGUUUUUCGCUAAAGGAUCAGCCUAUGUCCUAUCAGCUUGUUGGUGAGGUAAUGGCUCACCAAGGCUAUGACGGGUAUCCGGCCUGAGAGGGUGAACGGACACACUGGAACUGAGACACGGUCCAGACUCCUACGGGAGGCAGCAGUAGGGAAUAUUGCUCAAUGGGGGAAACCCUGAAGCAGCAACGCCGCGUGGAGGAUGAAGGUUUUAGGAUUGUAAACUCCUUUUGUAAGAGAAGAUUAUGACGGUAUCUUACGAAUAAGCACCGGCUAACUCCGUGCCAGCAGCCGCGGUAAUACGGAGGGUG